CGGGACGUGGCGCAGUCAGGCAGCGCGCAUCGCUGGGGGCGAUGAGGUCCCCGGUUCAAAUCCGGGCGUCCCGACCA
RNAcentral lists this transfer RNA (77 nucleotides) under Bacteroidetes bacterium QS_7_67_15. RNAcentral's name for it is "tRNA-Pro". It matches the Rfam family "tRNA". Rfam says of the family: Transfer RNA (tRNA) molecules are approximately 80 nucleotides in length. Their secondary structure includes four short double-helical elements and three loops (D, anti-codon, and T loops). Lineage: Bacteria; Pseudomonadati; Bacteroidota. The record is from RNAcentral.